CGUCGAGCUACUACGGUAGUGAAGUCAUUGAUGCCAUGCUUCCAGGAAAAGCCUCUAAGCUUCAGAUUGUAAGGAAUCGUACCCCAAACCGACACAGGUGGUCGGGUAGAGAAUACCAAGGCGCUUGAGAGAACUCGGGUGAAGGAACUAGGCAAAAUGGUACCGUAACUUCGGGAGAAGGUACGCUCUUGAUGGUGAAGUCCCUUGCGGAUGGAGCUGACGAGAGUCGCAGAUACCAGGUGGCUGCAACUGUUUAUUAAAAACACAGCACUGUGCAAAAUCGUAAGAUGACGUAUACGGUGUGACGCCUGCCCGGUGCCGGAAGGUUAAUUGAUGGGGUUAGCGUAAGCGAAGCUCUUGAUCGAAGCCCCGGUAAACGGCGGCCGUAACUAUAACGGUCCUAAGGUAGCGAAAUUCCUUGUCGGGUAAGUUCCGACCUGCACGAAUGGCGUAAUGAUGGCCACGCUGUCUCCACCCGAGACUCAGUGAAAUUGAAAUCGCUGUGAAGAUGCAGUGUACCCGCGGCUAGACGGAAAGACCCCGUGAACCUUUACUACAGCUUGGCACUGAACAUUGAACCUACAUGUGUAGGAUAGGUGGGAGGCUUUGAAGACGUGACGCCAGUUGCGUUGGAGCCGUCCUUGAAAUACCACCCUUGUAUGUUUGAUGUUCUAACGUUGGCCCCUAAUCGGGGUUGCGGACAGUGCCUGGUGGGUAGUUUGACUGGGGCGGUCUCCUCCCAAAGAGUAACGGAGGAGCACGAAGGUGGGCUAAUCACGGUUGGACAUCGUGAGGUUAGUGCAAUGGCAUAAGCCCGCUUAACUGCGAGAAUGACGGUUCGAGCAGGUGCGAAAGCAGGUCAUAGUGAUCCGGUGGUUCUGAAUGGAAGGGCCAUCGCUCAACGGAUAAAAGGUACUCCGGGGAUAACAGGCUGAUACCGCCCAAGAGUUCAUAUCGACGGCGGUGUUUGGCACCUCGAUGUCGGCUCAUCACAUCCUGGGGCUGAAGUCGGUCCCAAGGGUAUGGCUGUUCGCCAUUUAAAGUGGUACGCGAGCUGGGUUUAGAACGUCGUGAGACAGUUCGGUCCCUAUCUGCCGUGGGCGUUGGAAGAUUGAAGGGGGCUGCUCCUAGUACGAGAGGACCGGAGUGGACGAACCUCUGGUGUUCGGGUUGUGUCGCCAGACGCAUUGCCCGGUAGCUAAGUUCGGAAUCGAUAACCGCUGAAAGCAUCUAAGCGGGAAGCGAGCCCUGAGAUGAGUCUUCCCUGAUACUUUAAGUAUCCUAAAGGGUUGUUCGAGACUAGAACGUUGAUAGGCAGGGUGUGUAAGCGCUGUGAGGCGUUGAGCUAACCUGUACUAAUUGCCCGUGAGGCUUAACCAUACAACAC
RNAcentral lists this ribosomal RNA (1387 nucleotides) under Vibrio vulnificus. RNAcentral describes it as "partial 23S ribosomal RNA". It matches the Rfam family "Bacterial large subunit ribosomal RNA", at positions 1567 to 2925 of the family's 2925-position model. Lineage: Bacteria; Pseudomonadati; Pseudomonadota; Gammaproteobacteria; Vibrionales; Vibrionaceae. The record is from RNAcentral.